UCCACAUCAUAGCAGUGUUAUUCAUAUAUUAAAACUGUCAACUGCACACUCAUUUGGCAGAAUAAAAGUUUGACAAUUAUUAAUUUGUUCUUUGUCAUAUUUUAGUAACAUUUAUAAUUAAGCAAGUUGUAAUUAAACAAAUGACUGCAACAUUUCCCCCUGUUAAGUGCAGUAGACUGAAAUUAAUAGCUUUAUUUGGAAAUAUAACAUAUCUAAUUUUUAAUGGACUUAUAUAAAAUCUUUCUUCAACAUAGACCCCACUAAUGAACUGAUUAAGUGUUAUUUUUUUAUAAAAAGAAGAGAGAAAAUGCACAAAGGUAGGAAAGGAAAAGAAAGUGACAAAAUAAUAGGUUUUGUUAAAUGUUCUUCAGAAAAUGAAUUAAUUGACAAAGUUUUUGCAGGGUGUGAAAAAAAUGUUCAAGGUCAAGCUCCUGGGGCUAAGCCCCCCCUAAAACUCAAUCCUAGUGACGUCCAUGCUACUGCUAAAAAAACACAGAAGAAAAAGUAGUGUGUUUGUGUUUGUGUGUGUGUGUGUGCGCGCGCGCGCGUGCGCGUGGUUCGUUCGUGUCUCCAGGCUAGUAAGUACUGAGGGCUUCAUCUAUCUAAAAGGAGUCAUUUUUAUCUGAAUGUGGCAGCACCGGGACACAGCAGCAGAGCGAAUAUGACGAUGACAUCAUGGAACUGGUCUUUGGAAAAGUUUUCCCUGAACCAACUCCGUUUCUAGAUGAGGUAGAGAAGAUCUGCAUCUCACCAACCCUCUGAUCUCAGUAUUCAGACAACGGAGGUCUCCCACUGUUAUCCAGGACCAGUUUGAAGCCCACAUACUGCCCCUCCCUCAUCAUUAGGAAACAUCAAUCCGUAUCCUGAGGACAACAGAAGACGGCAGGAGGACAGGAACUCUGAGACCUAGACACCACCAGCACCGAGACACAAAGCACCUGUGUGCACAACGCCUGUUUAACUACUAAAGCCUGUUUAUUAUAUUGUUCUACUUAUUUGCUGUGAGGUUAAUACUUAGAAAAUUUGUAUUUUAAUGUAAACAAUAAAAAAAUCACUGAUUGUAUGUUUUCUUUUAGAUGUAAUGGUCCAAACUCAGCCUUGUAGACAUUUAUUGCAUCCUGUAGGUAAAUACACAGAACAGGCUCAGGUCCAGGAUGACCCAGUAUGCUCUUCUUCCAUUCUGGCUGUUAGGGAUUGUAUCAAUAACUCAAUGCCUACUGAUGUUUCCACCUAACGGUAUUUAUUUAGAAUGCAGGUAAGAUUUAACUAUAUUUGUUAGCAAAGCAGACUGAUCUUGGGAAUUUCACUGCAGCACUGAUGUCCACCUCUCUGUACACAUUAGAGAGAAUUACCACUUUACAGCUAAACACAUUUAAUAAAGAUAUAGGCUACGCAUUGCAGACAAUAAAAACAAAGUUGUAAGCAUUAGAAUUAUAAUGAUCACAUUAAAGAACAUUUGGAGGAAUGUUCUUUAUUUUUGACUCGAAUCUCAAAUCUUUAAAUUAAAAUGUAACUGCUUUUUAUCCAUUUUCAGCCAUUAAGACACCCAAUAUUAAAUAAGACUACUUAUAAAAUUAUUCAUAAUUAUAUGUAUGUAUAUAUAUAUAUAGAUAGAUAGAUAGAGAUCUUAAUAAAAUGUAUUCUUUUAAUGGUGUUUUAAUGAGCUGUAUCAUUUUUUAAAACAUUUUUUAUAGAAAUAAAUAAGCAAGCAGCA
This is a non-coding RNA of Nothobranchius furzeri (turquoise killifish), 1714 nucleotides long. Lineage: Eukaryota; Metazoa; Chordata; Actinopteri; Cyprinodontiformes; Nothobranchiidae. The record is from RefSeq and is a predicted model, not a curated record.